AUCCAGCCGACGAGUCUCAAAUAAGACGGGACGCGCGUUCUGGUU
Molecule: non-coding RNA, 45 nt
Organism: Schistosoma mansoni
Lineage: Eukaryota; Metazoa; Platyhelminthes; Trematoda; Strigeidida; Schistosomatidae
Source: Rfam